RNAcentral lists this ribosomal RNA (254 nucleotides) under uncultured bacterium. RNAcentral describes it as "partial 16S ribosomal RNA". It matches the Rfam family "Bacterial small subunit ribosomal RNA", at positions 524 to 776 of the family's 1533-position model. The record is from RNAcentral.
UACGGGGGGAGCAAGCGUUGUUCGGAUUUACUGGGCGUAAAGGGCGCGUAGGCGGCCACCGCAAGUCGACUGUGAAAUCUCCGGGCUUAACCCGGAAAGGUCAGCCGAUACUGCGGGGCUAGAGUGCAGAAGGGGCAACUGGAAUUCUCGGUGUAGCGGUGAAAUGCGUAGACAUCGAGAGGAACACCUGCGGCGAAGGCGGGUUGCUGGGCUGACACUGACGCUGAUGCGCGAAAGCUAGGGGAGCGAACGGG